AGUGAACGCUGGCGGUAGGCCUAACACAUGCAAGUCGAACGGCAGCACAGAGGAGCUUGCUCCUUGGGUGGCGAGUGGCGGACGGGUGAGGAAUACAUCGGAAUCUACUCUGUCGUGGGGGAUAACGUAGGGAAACUUACGCUAAUACCGCAUACGUCCUACGGGUGAAAGCAGGGGACCUUCGGGCCUUGCGCGAUUGAAUGAGCCGAUGUCGCAUUAGCUAGUUGGCGGGGUAAAGGCCCACCAAGGCGACGAUCCGUAGCUGAUCUGAGAGGAUGAUCAGCCACACUGGAACUGAGACACGGUCCAGACUCCUACGGGAGGCAGCAGUGGGGAAUAUUGGACAAUGGGCGCAAGCCUGAUCCAGCCAUACCGCGUGGGUGAAGAAGGCCUUCGGGUUGUAAAGCCCUUUUGUUGGGAAAGAAAUCCAGCUGGCUAAUACCCGGUUGGGAUGACGGUACCCAAAGAAUAAGCACCGGCUAACUUCGUGCCAGCCGCCGCGGUAA
RNAcentral lists this ribosomal RNA (506 nucleotides) under uncultured bacterium. RNAcentral's name for it is "partial 16S ribosomal RNA". It matches the Rfam family "Bacterial small subunit ribosomal RNA", at positions 29 to 523 of the family's 1533-position model. The record is from RNAcentral.